CCUCCCCCUGUCAGCCCCAGCCAAGAAACUUGUAAGUCUUUCCAGAAGCACUUGCGAAUAAAUACAGUUUCAUGACCUAGGUGCUUCAUCUCCUCAGCACCCUGCUCCAAAGCCCUUGUGCAGCCGACAGCCCCAUCGGCUUGGGAGGCGAGUGCAAGCACGAGGAGCUGCAAUGGGUCCCGCCGCCGGCGCAGUGCUCCAGCAUGAUGGAGGCAGUUUUUCUUCUAUAUUGUGGAAAGCAUAUCAGAUCAGUUUCCCUGUUUCAUUAUGGGAUUUUUCAUACGAAGAGUCUUUCAAUUUAAGGGUAAAGUCUGAAUCUUAUGGUCAUGUGAUAUGACUCGUACACAAGCAGUAUCUCCAUGCUGUAUUCUUGCUUUCAAUGGCUUCUAAUGUGAGGAAAAACACGCAAUGACAAGUGUGGAAAAGAGCAAGCACUAAAUUACUGUCAGAAAAAUAAACGGAGCAGCGCGCGGCUGCA
Molecule: long non-coding RNA, 478 nt
Filed under: Crocodylus porosus (Australian saltwater crocodile)
Lineage: Eukaryota; Metazoa; Chordata; Crocodylia; Crocodylidae
Description: lncRNA (ENSCPRG00005016825.1)
Source: RNAcentral